ACGAUGACAACGACAACAAUGACAACGGUGAGAAUGACGAGAACAACGACAACAACGACAACAACAACAACAACAUCAUCAUCAACAACAACAACAAAAACAACAACAACAACAACAACAACAACAACAACAACAAUGAUGAAGAUGACGAGGACGACGACGACAACAACAAGGACAACAUUGACAACGAAGACAACAACGAGAGCAACGACAACAACGACAACUAAGACAACAACAACAAAAACAACAACAACAACAACAACAACAAAAACAACAACAACAACAACAACN
Molecule: long non-coding RNA, 291 nt
Filed under: Hordeum vulgare
Lineage: Eukaryota; Viridiplantae; Streptophyta; Magnoliopsida; Poales; Poaceae
Description: long non-coding RNA (HVUL_LNC009858)
Source: RNAcentral